UAGCGAACGUCAAUCAACCCUAAACGACUGACAGGACCAGUUCAGAUCGAGAUGUGAACAGCACCGUGGUCACCAAUUCAUUUCGCCUCUAGAGUCGCUGCCAAAUUAAGAUAAGUGAAAAACACUGAUUGCCCAGUUACACAGAAAAAACUAGCUAGCUAUCAAGAGAAUUCGCGAGCCAUCUAACCAAAUAACUAUUGGAAAUGUCAUCUAACUGGCUGGCUAACCAGCCAGCUUAAAACAGUGCACAGUACUAGCCAAACAUCAUGGCUGAAAAACGACCAAACACCCCACACCAGCUAGCUGCUAAAUAGCAGGCUAGCACCGCAAACCAUCGGUUGCAUCCCACUCGCAAGUCACACAGCAGGACGUAACGGAUGACCUCGACAACAUGGACAGACCCCAGUUACACCUCCAACAUUGGCAAACACUAAAGAGAAUUGACGGUUUUGGAGCAAACCACAGAGGAAAGCUAACGUUCUAAUGUAUAUGACUGUCAAGCUACUCUAGCUAGUACAGGAUACAGUUAUUUAAAAUGUAUGCAAUAGCUAUCAGUAUCAACAUGUUUUAAGCAUACGUACUCUUUGAACUUGAGUAACAUCAAUGAAAAAUAUCAAUGACCUUACAUUACCCCCUGAAAAAAAUAUAAUGGUAUAGUCUCGCUUCCUGAUAGUUGUGCUGGGCACUUUCACAGAAAUCCAUGGUCAGAAGUUUGUGAUUUAGGCUGUUAUCAUUAUUAUGUUAACCUAAACACGCCGCUAUUUGCAUCGCUAUUAUACUGUAAUUUAUAGUCUGAAUAAACGAACUUGAGUAGA
This is a long non-coding RNA of Anguilla rostrata (American eel), 815 nucleotides long. RefSeq lists it as uncharacterized. The transcript has 2 exons. Lineage: Eukaryota; Metazoa; Chordata; Actinopteri; Anguilliformes; Anguillidae. The record is from RefSeq and is a predicted model, not a curated record.